This 507-nucleotide ribosomal RNA is filed under the name uncultured bacterium. RNAcentral describes it as "bacterial SSU rRNA". It matches the Rfam family "Bacterial small subunit ribosomal RNA", at positions 29 to 518 of the family's 1533-position model. The record is from RNAcentral.
AUGAACGCUGGCGGCGUGCCUAAUACAUGCAAGUCGAACGAGGUGGAUGGGAGCUUGCUCCUUGAUAUCGAGUGGCGAACGGGUGAGUAACACGUAGGUAACCUGCCCUUAAGCUUGGGAUACCAGAGGAAACUUUGGCUAAUACCGGAUAACAACAGAAGAGGCAUCUCUUCAGUUUGAAAGGCCCUUUACGGGGUCACUUAAGGAUGGACCUGCGGCGCAUUAGCUAGUUGGUGAGAUAAAAGCCCACCAAGGCGAGGAUGCGUAGCCGACCUGAGAGGGUGAUCGGCCACAUUGGAACUGAGACACGGUCCAAACUCCUACGGGAGGCAGCAGUAAGGAGUUUUCGGCAAUGGGGGAAACCCUGACCGAGCAACGCCGCGUGAGUGAUGACGGCCCUAUGGGUUGUAAAGCUCUGUUGUAAGGGACGAACAACCGUUUAGGAAAUGAAACGGUUCUGACGGUACCUUACCAGAAAGCCACGGCUAACUACGUGCCAGCAGCGGC